CCUACGGGAGGCAGCAGUGAGGAAUAUUGGUCAAUGGGCGCGAGCCUGAACCAGCCAAGUCGCGUGAGGGAGGACGGCCCUACGGGUUGUAAACCUCUUUUGCCGGGGAGCAACGGGCGCCACGUGUGGCGUCACUGAGAGUACCCGGAGAAAAAGCAUCGGCUAACUCCGUGCCAGCAGCCGCGGUAAUACGUAUGGUGCAAGCGUUAUCCGGAUUUACUUGGUGUAAAGGGAGCGCAGGCGGCACGGCAAGCCUGAUGUGAAAGCCAGCGGCCCAACCGCGGGACUGCAUUGGGAACUACCGGGCUGGAGUGCCGGAGAGGUAGGCGGAAUUCAUAGUGUAGCGGUGAAAUGCGUAGAUAUUAGGAGGAACACCAGUGGCGAAGGCGGUCUGCUGGACAGCAACUGACGGUGAGGCGCGAAAGCGUGGGGAGCAAACAGGAUUAGAUACCCGGGUAGUC
This 461-nucleotide ribosomal RNA is filed under the name uncultured bacterium. RNAcentral describes it as "partial 16S ribosomal RNA". It matches the Rfam family "Bacterial small subunit ribosomal RNA", at positions 338 to 795 of the family's 1533-position model. The record is from RNAcentral.